RNAcentral lists this ribosomal RNA (469 nucleotides) under uncultured bacterium. RNAcentral describes it as "partial 16S ribosomal RNA". It matches the Rfam family "Bacterial small subunit ribosomal RNA", at positions 28 to 507 of the family's 1533-position model. The record is from RNAcentral.
GACGAACGCUGGCGGCGUGCUUAACACAUGCAAGUCGAACGGAAAGGCCCUGCUUGCAGGGUGCUCGAGUGGCGAACGGGUGAGUAACACGUGGGUGAUCUGCCCCUUACUUUGGGAUAAGCCUGGGAAACUGGGUCUAAUACUGGAUAGGACCAUGCUGUAGGUGGUGUGGUGGAAAGAUUAGUUUCGGUAAGGGAUGAGCUCGCGGCCUAUCAGCUUGUUGGUGGGGUAAUGGCCUACCAAGGCGUCGACGGGUAGCCGGCCUGAGGGGGUGGACGGCGACAUUGGGACUGAGAUACGGCCCAGACUCCUACGGGAGGCAGCAGUGGGGAAUAUUGCACAAUGGGCGCAAGCCGGAUGCAGCGACGCCGCGUGGGGGAUGACGGCCUUCGGGUUGUAAACUCCUUUCAGCCAUGACGAAGCCCUUGUGGUGACGGUAGUGGUAGAAGAAGCACCGGCUAACUACGUG